CGAAGAACCUUACCAGGUCUUUGACAUUCCUUUUGAAUGGUCUAGAGAUAGAUCAGGCCUUCGGGACAGAAGAGACAGGUGGUGCAUGGUUGUCGUCAGCUCGUGUCGUGAGAUGUUGGGUUAAGUCCCGCAACGAGCGCAACCCUUAUCAUUAGUUGCUAACAUUUCAGUUGAGAACUCUAAUGAGACUGCCAGUGAUAAACUGGAGGAAGGUGGGAUGACGUCAAAUCAUCAUGCCCCUUAUGACCUGGGCUACACACGUGCUACAAUGGCCGGUACAAAGAGUUGCGAAACUGUGAAGUUAAGCUAAUCUCAUAAAGCCGGUCUCAGUUCGGAUUGUAGUCUGCAACUCGACUACAUGAAGUCGGAAUCGCUAGUAAUCGCGAAUCAGAAUGUCGCGGUGAAUACGUUCUCGAGUCUU
This 421-nucleotide ribosomal RNA is filed under the name uncultured Bacillota bacterium. RNAcentral describes it as "bacterial SSU rRNA". It matches the Rfam family "Bacterial small subunit ribosomal RNA", at positions 962 to 1382 of the family's 1533-position model. Lineage: Bacteria; Bacillati; Bacillota. The record is from RNAcentral.